GGAGGUGCUUGAAAAGGGAAGAGCAGCAAUGCCUUCAAUGCAGAAGUCUCAGGUUGUGGGCAGGCAGCCCAUCAGAGGAGGGUAUAUAAGCCGGGCAUGGUUCAUAGUCUCACUCAGGAAAAGUCACAUCAGGCAAGAAGAGGCAGCUGUUGAGCUCCAUCCAGCAAAGCAAGACCAUAGAACAUAUAUCACAAAGCAAAGAAAUGAACAGAGCCCUGCUGGUGAACAUUUCGGUGUGUGUCCCCGCCUCUCUCACAAACACACUGCCAUAAAUCAGAGACCUUGCACUCAAGUGCUUGCAGCCUGAUCCAUAAGCCACUUACAAUGGAAUAAAUGAAGUUAAUCCUACCGAUAUCAAAA
Podarcis raffonei (Aeolian wall lizard) is the source of this 360-nucleotide long non-coding RNA. RefSeq lists it as uncharacterized. NCBI's taxonomy places the organism in Eukaryota, Metazoa, Chordata, Lepidosauria, Squamata, Lacertidae. The transcript has 2 exons. The record is from RefSeq and is a predicted model, not a curated record.